GUUGACCUCGGAUCAGGUAGGAAUACCCGCUGAACUUAAGCAUAUCAAUAGGCGGAGGAACAGCGAGACCGCCACUAUAUUUGGGAGCCG
Molecule: ribosomal RNA, 90 nt
Filed under: Ilyonectria destructans
Lineage: Eukaryota; Fungi; Ascomycota; Sordariomycetes; Hypocreales; Nectriaceae
Description: partial 28S large subunit ribosomal RNA
Source: RNAcentral